GUGAAAAAAUUUAGUGAAACAUAGAAAAAUAUCAUGUGUUAUUAGUGCAAAUUUUUGAACUUUUAAUCGUGAAUAUUUUUGGAUAUUCCUUCUCUGGAGAAGUUCUCCUAUCUGCACAUACCCCAUUUAUACGGAAAUUCGUUUUUUUUUACCCCUUCGACAGAGUAAUCGGAAUCGUGCCCGUCCGAGGAUUUCGGGAAUAAAAGGGUAUGGUCGGAUAGAGGAGGCUCUCCCGAUCAAGAAUAUAUUUUUCGAGAUAUUUGCGUUUAAAGUUGAUAAUUACCACUAUUUAAAUUACAUAUUUUUCGAUUUGAAAUUAAUAUUACACUGAUAUUUUGCUUUUUUAUAUCCACUAGCACUACACUAACUCGUUUGUAUGCAUUUGUUUUACAUUAUAUUAUGCUAAAAUAGUCAAUAUUUAACUUACUGUUCAAAUCUAGUUACUCAACAAUAACGGAAGAGCAACAAAUUGUCAAAUAAUCAGUGUAACCAUACUAAUAUGUUUUAAAAAACGAACAAAUAUGCAAUGGAAAGACAGGUUAACAAAAGGAAUUUUACGCGAAGAAACUUGACACACUCCGGUAUUGGACCGACCAGGGUUAUUUUUUUAAGCGCUGCCGAAGUCCGCAAACGCAAACAGGUGUUUUAUGCGAAAAGAAAACUUGACACACUCCGGUGUUGGACCGAUCAGGGUUGUUUUUUUGAAGCGCGGCCGAAGGCUCCACUGGCGAAUAAUAAAACGAUUUUUUUCGAUAGACAACUGCAAAAAUCCUUUUAUUGGGUAUAAUAUAUUUUCUUUAUGUCUUUUAGUCCAUUUACAAAAUGUCGAUAAGGCUACGCUGAUUAUUUGACAGACUGCAACCCUUUAGUUCUUGUCAAAUAAAUAGAUUUGAACAAUAAGUUUAAUGUUGAUAUAAAACCAUUUUUGCACUAUAUAAUGUAAAAUAGAUGUGUACAAACGAUUUAUUGAAAUGUUAGUGAACAUAAAAAUGAAAAACAUAAGUGUAAAAUUAAUUUAAAAUCGAAAAAAAUGUGUAAUUCAUAUAGUGGUGAUUUUCAACUUUAAAAAUAAAUAUCUUGAAAACUAUAAGUUUCCUGCGGUUAUAUCUAUAUAUAUUCUUGAUCUGGUAAACCUCCUUCAUCCACCCAUUCCCAUUUUAUUCCCGAAAUCCUGGGACGGUAUACUAAAGUUUUCCCAAAAAACUGUAACAAACGUUUAUAACUUAAAUGGAAAUUGUUAAAUCUAUUUAAAACAUACUUUCUUCAGCAAUUUAACGGCGAAAUAUGUCUUUAUGUAAAACGACAGCUAAAACAGGGUUGCAAUCAUAUUUUUACGUGUCAUUCUUCUUCUUCUUAAUUGGCGUAGACACCGCUUACGCGAUUAUAGCCGAGUUAACAACAGCGCGCCAGUCGUUUCCUCUUUUCGAAAGGUGGCGCCAAUUGGAAAGUAAAAUCUAAGCCAGGUCCUUCUCCACCUGGUCCUACCAACGGAGUGGAGGUCUUCCUCUUCCUCUGCUUCCCCCGGCGGGUACUGCGUCGAAUACUUUUAGAGGUGGAGUGUUUUCAUCCAUUCGGACAACAUGACUUAGCCAGCGUAGCCGCUGUCUUUUACGGGACAGGACGGGAAUUAUGAGUGACUUAUAGAGUUUGGUUUUUGUUCGUCGAGAGAGGACUUUGCUUCUCAAUUGCCUACUCAGUCCGAAUUAGCACCUGUUGGCAAGAGCAAUUGCCCUCAAAGCCCCAACACACCCCAAUUAUGUAUUGAUUGUUUUCCAAAAUAUACGCACCUUAAAAACUAAUAUAUACACUAAUAUAUAAUAAUCAAACACAAAAUGUACCUUAGAGAUUUUAUAAUAAAGCAAACAAAAAUUAUCAUAGCGCUAUGAAAAUUGGACCAAAUUGUUCUGCAAACAUCAGCCUACGAUGGAAACAUAAAAACUUUCAAAUAACGUCACACGAAUGCGUACGACAAGGUAGAAUGCGAAACAUCCUCUGUAGUACACUUCCGUGCGACGUGGCACCCCAUGAAGUAUUAGGAGUCGUACAAAACGUCCGACAUGGCACUCAAUGUGUUAAGGGUGUUUUCCACCUACAAAAUGGUGCUGUGCUUUUCGGAAUCCUUGCUGGUGGUUGGCUAAGCUCAGGUAGUGAGUGAAGGUCGGGAGUAGGUAGCAAGGCCUAAAGUGUGUUCACUACUAGGGAGUUAUCGGACGAUAGGACUCCCCUUUGUUGGUGAGUUUUUCAGGUUUCAGUAGUGGGACUACUCUUCCGAUUUUCCACACAUCGGGUAUUUGAAGAGUGGUCAGCGACAGGUUGAGGACCUUGGUAAGAUAGCUUACUUCCGUCGAGCCCUUUCCACACCAAUGGUAUGAGUUCUUGUAAUAUUCGUGCUGGGCGAAUUUGGUUGUUUAGCUUUAGUGGUUUAGGAGAUAUAUACAUUAAACUUAUUAGAGGGCGGAGUCACGCCCACUUUUUCAAAUUUUUUUGCCAAGAUGUGCCCCUGGCUACUGCGAUCCUCUGUGCAAACUACAGUUUUAUAUCUUAAUUUAGUGCUCUGUUAUGGCAUUUUAUAGGUUUUCAGUUAAUGUCGAUUUGUGGACGUGGCAAUAGUCCGAUUAUGCCAAUCUACGAACUCCUAAUGUUCUUUGUACUAAGAAACCUGCAUAUCAAGUUUCUCAUUUUUUACUAAAAUUACAGCUUGCACGGUCGGACGGACAGACGGACAGUUAAGCGGAUUUAAACUUUUCUUGUUACCCUGAUCACUUAUAUAUAAGAUGUCGUGUUCGAUUAGAUUUAGGUGAUAUGUACAACCGUUAGGUGAACCAGAGAACAUAAAACAUAGAGAAGGUGCAAAUUGAAUUCUGUAUGAUGUUCGAUUGGACGGCUAACAGAGCUUAUAAGAUUGCGACACGGAAUUUCACCAUUCUCGCUGCUAUUUAACAGAAUUGAGCAUGUACAAUGUCAGAAAUAUAUAUAAAGCGACUGAAUUCAUACGGGAAUGAAUAAAGAGAAUUGCUUUGUAGAAAAAUAUAUACAAAAUAUACAAAAUCACACAGAGAAUGUAAAAAAGCAUUGUCUGAGUGACAUGCAUGCUUAUUUUGUAUUAUAUGAACCAUUGUUUUCCGAAAAAUAGGAAACAUUUUAUGUGAUAAAAUGAAAUAAAAAAUAAGUUUAAAUAAAUUAUUAUUUCAAAAAUGAUAUUAAUUUCGACUAUUAUAUUAUAUCAAUUUCGACUAUUGUAAAAUGAAGAUGUGCUAAAUGAACUUAAAUGUGCUCUUAUAAACACUUCCAUUCAUUCCUUCCAUUUCUUAAAAAAAAUUAAUGACCUUCAUGAAAUAUGCAUAUUCGCAUUAUUUCGUUAUCAUUUCCAUAUUUGUACCAAUAGAAUUUCUAUGACACAUGCAUAUGUACAUACAUACUUAUAUUAUUUCUUUGGCACUUCCUUAGGGCUAUAUAGAAAUUUUAUAGAUGGUAUGUAUUAAAAAAUCUAUGAAAAUUGCAUACAGCCUUACUUAAUGUGUUAAUGUAAACAAAAAAAUUUCAAAAUGUUGGGGGCGGUAUUUUAAAUGUCAAAAAUGUGUACAAAGUUUGAAAUGAAUUGGUCAAGUGGUUUUGGUUAAAACUCAGUAAAGAUUUAUCAUUCCUUACCUCUGGUGGGGGGAAAUGAAACGUCUUAUAUUACGUGAGAAAUCUUUCACUCUGGUUUUUAUUUAGUAUUUUCCUUGCUUAUAUACAAAUUUUAAAACUAUCUUAAAUAACUAAAUAUAUGUGUAUGUUUGUAUGUACUGCAGCAUAUUGUUUAUUGCUGUUUGACAUGGGGUUGUUUUCAAGUGUACAAUUUAAUACAUGUGUGUGUGUGAUGUUAUCUCUUCUGUAAAUUUAUGACUUGUGUCCCAAUGCAUUUUUAUUACUAUUAGUCGACUAUUACACGAAGCAACAUUUGUUGCGGCAACUCUUGGUUUAUAGGGGUGCAACGAGGAGAGGAGAAUCGCGCCGAGUUUCCAGUGUUCAGAAACACGCUUUGUGUUCUUAUUCGUAACAGUUCGCUGCAACGUUUUUCGGCAUUCGUUUUCUUUCUUUCGUAGUACAUAGUUGCAUUUGCGUAUCUUUUUUUGAAAUCAAUAUUUUGAAUAUAUUUAAAAAAUUUAAUUUCAUCUUUUGGUCAGUAAUUUGCAAAUAUGUAUACAAAUAUGCAUAAUAUAAUAUAAAUAUUUUAGAAAAUGGAGUAUGACGAUAAAAUCGAAUUAAUAUAGAUAUUGAUUCAGACGAUAGUGAAAAGGGUGAAAUAUGACAAGGUCUGUUAUAUAAUCUUUGUUUUAAUUUUGAAUGAUAAAUAAAAUGUAUUUCUUAAUUGACAGAACUGAUUAAUAUAGUAUGUGAUAGAGUGGCCCAAAUACCUAUAAGGAAAAAGAAACGAAAAUGGGUUAAAGUAAAAAGUAGACAAUUUGUUAAAGUAAAGUGAAAGAGAAUGAGAAAAAAACUCGAACAGAGUUGCGCAACACAAGUUGCUCGUGUGAAGGUAAUGGGCGACAGCAAAAAAGAAUCGCCCGAGAAUUAGCAACAAAAGUUGCUUCGUGUAAUAGCCGACUUAGAUGUGCAUUGCAUGUAAAUGCAUUAUGUAUAUAUGUAUGUAUGUACGUAUAUUAAUAUAUAAAAAGAUAUUUAUAUCUAGUAGAAUUUCGGCUUUGCCGAUAAAUAAGCAUGUUCAGUUAUAUUUGAACAGGUUUUGAAAUGACAAUGAAUACGGACUAGUAGUUUUGAGAAAAAGUCGUCUAAAGUUUGUGAACUAAAAAAGUGACGAAACACAAAAUUGCCCUAUAUUGUCAAAAGUGUGCACAAUAAUGUAUAAAAGAAAUUGCGACCUGCAUCCUGGCCGCCAUCCGAAAA
This is a long non-coding RNA of Bactrocera neohumeralis, 4887 nucleotides long. RefSeq lists it as uncharacterized. NCBI's taxonomy places the organism in Eukaryota, Metazoa, Arthropoda, Insecta, Diptera, Tephritidae. The transcript has 2 exons. The record is from RefSeq and is a predicted model, not a curated record.